GAAGCUGACGGAUUACGCCGCGUGAGGGAUGAAGGCCUCUGGGCUGUAAACCUCUUUUAUCAAGGAAGAAGAUCUGACGGUACUUGAUGAAUAAGCCACGGCUAAUUCCAGUGCCAGCAGCCGCGGUAAUAUGGGAGUGGCAAGCGUUAUCCGGAAUUAUUGGGCGUAAAGCGUCCGCAGGCGGUCUUGUAAGUCUGUCGUUAAAGCGUGGAGCUUAACUCCAUUUGAGCGAUGGAAACUGCAAGACUAGAGUGUGGUAGGGGCAGAGGGAAUUCCCGGUGUAGCGGUGAAAUGCGUAGAUAUCGGGAAGAACACCAGUGGCGAAGGCGCUCUGCUGGGCCAUAACUGACGCUCAUGGACGAAAGCCAGGGGAGCGAAAGGGAUUAGAUACCCCUGUAGUCCUGGCCGUAAACGAUGAACACUAGGUGUCGGGGGAAUCGACCCCCUCGGUGUCGUAGCCAACGCGUUAAGUGUUCCGCCUGGGGAGUACGCACGCAAGUGUGAAACUCAAAGGAAUUGACGGGGGCCCGCACAAGCGGUGGAGUAUGUGGAUUAAUUCGAUGCAACGCGAAGAACCUUACCAGGUAUGACAUCCUGGAAUC
This 602-nucleotide ribosomal RNA is filed under the name uncultured bacterium. RNAcentral's name for it is "bacterial SSU rRNA". It matches the Rfam family "Bacterial small subunit ribosomal RNA", at positions 379 to 996 of the family's 1533-position model. The record is from RNAcentral.